UCAGGAUGUGGCUGAGAUAGUUAAGCACCUCACUUACACCGAGAAAACAUCCAUGCAAGUUGGAUCAUCCUGAGCCA
RNAcentral lists this transfer RNA (77 nucleotides) under Hoplisoma nattereri (blue corydoras). Its description in RNAcentral is "Corydoras nattereri tRNA-Val". It matches the Rfam family "tRNA". From Rfam's summary of the family: Transfer RNA (tRNA) molecules are approximately 80 nucleotides in length. Their secondary structure includes four short double-helical elements and three loops (D, anti-codon, and T loops). Lineage: Eukaryota; Metazoa; Chordata; Actinopteri; Siluriformes; Callichthyidae. The record is from RNAcentral.